Molecule: long non-coding RNA, 1534 nt
Organism: Mercenaria mercenaria
Lineage: Eukaryota; Metazoa; Mollusca; Bivalvia; Venerida; Veneridae
Exons: 3
Source: RefSeq, a predicted model, not a curated record
CGCUUUCAUACACUCUUAUACAGUUUAUGUUUACAAACAUGCGUAUAGCCUUACAAUUAAGACAAUAAUAUCUUGAACGCCAGCCAGACGCUUUAAAUCAGUAUGUAAAAAUAGAAUACGUGGUGUGAUUAUGAGUAAUUGAUAUAUUUAAAUCUAGUCGGCAAAUCCGUUGGACUUUCCUUAUUUGUAUGUGUGUGGGUUUUUUUGGGGGUUUUUUUACUGAAAACCGAUUUUGCUGUAAUGCGCUAUACGGGUAAAAUUAGUUCUAGUUCUCUUUACUGGUCUUAAUGAAACGCAAAGUUUGGUGAAAUUAAACGAUUUAAUAAACGUAUCUAUAUAAUUCGUGUUUUUAUUUAAUAUGUUCGGGGUUGUCUGCAAUUUUGCAUAACAAAUAUAUUUCGGGCUAGGCGCAGAAUAAUCUUUUCUGUGCAUUUCCUGACAUUUAAAUAUCCUCAAUAGUUUAUUCAAAAACUACAUAUGAAAAUCUGCAUAUAACCAAUAUGUCAAGUGAUAAAAUAUCUACGACUUUAGUCGUGGGAUUUCUAAAAAUCGCAUAUCUUUAGUUAGAUCUGCUUACGUAAUGAGCUAUCAGAAUCCCAAUUUACCCUGGCCAAUGAAAUAGAAUAUUGUAGCAGUUAUAAAUUAGGAAUCUUUGGAUAAGUUAUAUCAGACUUGUCCUGCUAUCUAUUAAAGAGUUUGUGCGUGUAACGUGCAAGUUAAAAUAAAAUAAUAAAAUAUAAUUCUUAUUGUAAAAGCAUGGUUUGGAUUUUAUUACUCAGCUGGAUGUGCCAAAUGCUAAGCACCCUCAUGUCUCUAUUAGAAAUGAUUAAAUCAGAGUAUGAUACAGAAACAAAACACAUGGAUACUAUCCCAGUCAGGCCAGCAUUAUACCAACUGUAUCUCUUCUUGAUGAUGUAGUAAAACUUCGCUAUAUGUGUUACAUGUUGAAGUAUACUGGUGCACUUGCGUUGUCUAUUGGAUUCUGCGUCCUCACAUGCCAGUAUGUCAAGCCGAAAUUCAGCAGUGUAAAAGAUAUAUGGAGACCUGCAGCACAGUUUAUUCCAUUACAGUUACUUGGAGUCGUUGCUUUAUUAGUUAGACUGGUUAUAUUGCUCUUCUACAAAAUCCAGCACGUAUGUGACACCGAUGAGAAAAGAAGUUUGGAACCAAACUACAUAAUGCUAGGAGUAGCCGUUUCCUUUGGAAUGAUAAGCAUAUUCAUCUAUAUCGGACAUGUUUUUGCUUUUACGUACAAAAAAUGUCUUCAACAUGAGAAGGACAAUGCAAAACAGCGAGCUAAUAUUACCUAUACCAACAUGUAUGAAAUUGCAGUACAUACAAGUAACACUCAAGGUGUUUCUGUCUGUUCAGGAUAUGUAAUUUAGAUAUCAGUUCAUUGCAUUGUUUUCACGUUGCUUUCAAGUCUUUCAGAACAAGUCUUCUUUAAAGGGUAUGUAUUAUCAUUUAAUAUUCCUUGGGUACAGAAAUGAUAUACCCUUUAAAAUAUGUGUUUGUAUAGCAUGUUUUAUAAAAG